This is a non-coding RNA of Biscogniauxia sp. FL1348, 87 nucleotides long. The record is from the annotation of a GenBank genome assembly. NCBI's taxonomy places the organism in Eukaryota, Fungi, Ascomycota, Sordariomycetes, Xylariales, Xylariaceae.
CUCUCGAUAGCUCAGUUGGUUUAGAGCGUUCGGCUGUAAUUGUUCAUUGUCACCGAAAGGUCGCUAGUUCGACUCUGGCUCGAGAGA